GAUGGUGAAGAGUGACGGAUGGUUAUUGUGGUUAAGGAGGGUGGUGUUGGUGGUGUAUCAUUUUCGAGCAUGCACAUCACAACAAUAAGAACAUCAGCCAAUUUAAGUUUUUUGGACUGAAAUGUUGUAAAUAUUUGUAACAUAAACCACAGACAAUUAAAACAAACCCACUCAACCGGAUUCAAAUGUUUAACAACACUAUAUAACCAAGUCCAAUUCAUUGAUACCGACAUAAUUCAUCGAGAAAGAUGAAAUUUUCACAAUAAGCAAACCCUAACACUGAACAUCGAUACAAACCCUAAACCCCCAAAUCUAAGAGCUGGUAAAUUUGGUUACAGCUUUCGUCCCCUCGGAAACGGCGUGCUUUGCCAACUCCCCGGGCAAAACCAAUCUCACCGCCGUCUGAAUUUCCCUGGAUGUGAUCGUCGGCUUCUUGUUGUACCUCGCAAGCUUCGAAGAUUCCUGAGCAAGCUUCUCGAAGAUGUCGUUGAUGAACGAGUUCAUGAUCCCCAUGGCCUUGCUUGAGAUACCGAUGUCAGGGUGAACCUGUUUCAGCACCUUGAAGAUGUAGAUCUUGUAUGUCUCCACACUCUUCUUGUUUCUCUUCUUCUUCUUGUCAACAGCACCGGCGCCGGCCUCCUUGGGGAGCUUCUUCCCGGCCUUUGGCUUCUUCUCAGCAGGGGCUUUCUCAGCUGGUUUCUUCUCCUCCACUGGCUUCUUCUCAGCCGGCUUCUUCUCUGCCUUUGGCGCCAUUGUAGGGAUUUUAGUUUGUAAAGAAAGAGUGAUGUUCUAAAAACAGAGAGAUGAUUGUUGUUCGUU
This 819-nucleotide long non-coding RNA is filed under the name Lactuca sativa (garden lettuce). RNAcentral describes it as "long non-coding RNA (LSAT_LNC000309)". Lineage: Eukaryota; Viridiplantae; Streptophyta; Magnoliopsida; Asterales; Asteraceae. The record is from RNAcentral.